Molecule: small nuclear RNA, 23 nt
Filed under: Arabidopsis thaliana (thale cress)
Lineage: Eukaryota; Viridiplantae; Streptophyta; Magnoliopsida; Brassicales; Brassicaceae
Description: snRNA_03859
Source: RNAcentral
AUCGAAGUGUUGAGUUCGCUCUU